GGAGAUAUAGCUCAGUUGGUAGAGAGCUUGCCUCAAAUGCACAAGGCCCUGGGUUCAAUUCCUAGCACCA
RNAcentral lists this transfer RNA (70 nucleotides) under Ictidomys tridecemlineatus (thirteen-lined ground squirrel). RNAcentral's name for it is "Spermophilus tridecemlineatus (thirteen-lined ground squirrel) tRNA". It matches the Rfam family "tRNA". From Rfam's summary of the family: Transfer RNA (tRNA) molecules are approximately 80 nucleotides in length. Their secondary structure includes four short double-helical elements and three loops (D, anti-codon, and T loops). Further hydrogen bonds mediate the characteristic L-shaped molecular structure. tRNAs have two regions of fundamental functional importance: the anti-codon, which is responsible for specific mRNA codon recognition, and the 3' end, to which the tRNAs corresponding amino acid is attached (by aminoacyl-tRNA synthetases). tRNAs cope with the degeneracy of the genetic code in two manners: having more than one tRNA (with a specific anti-codon) for a particular amino acid; and 'wobble' base-pairing, i.e. permitting non-standard base-pairing at the 3rd anti-codon position. The record is from Rfam by way of RNAcentral. Lineage: Eukaryota; Metazoa; Chordata; Mammalia; Rodentia; Sciuridae.